Molecule: ribosomal RNA, 253 nt
Filed under: uncultured bacterium
Lineage: Bacteria
Description: partial 16S ribosomal RNA
Rfam family: Bacterial small subunit ribosomal RNA
Source: RNAcentral
UACGAGGGGGGCAAGCGUUGUUCGGAAUUAUUGGGCGUAAAGGGUGCGUAGGUGGCGCAGUAAGUCGGGUGUGAAAUCCUGAGGCUUAACCUCAGAACUGCAUUCGAUACUGCUGUGCUUGAGGACUGGAGAGGAGACUGGAAUUCAUGGUGUAGCAGUGAAAUGCGUAGAGAUCAUGAGGAAGACCAGUGGCGAAGGCGGGUCUCUGGACAGUUCCUGACACUGAGGCACGAAGGCCAGGGGAGCAAACGGG